UCCCUGGUGGCUCAGUGGUAAAGAAUCCGCCUGCAAUGCAGGAGACUCAGGUUCGAUCCCUGGGUUGGGAA
Molecule: transfer RNA, 71 nt
Filed under: Ovis aries (sheep)
Lineage: Eukaryota; Metazoa; Chordata; Mammalia; Artiodactyla; Bovidae
Rfam family: tRNA
About the family: Transfer RNA (tRNA) molecules are approximately 80 nucleotides in length. Their secondary structure includes four short double-helical elements and three loops (D, anti-codon, and T loops). Further hydrogen bonds mediate the characteristic L-shaped molecular structure. tRNAs have two regions of fundamental functional importance: the anti-codon, which is responsible for specific mRNA codon recognition, and the 3' end, to which the tRNAs corresponding amino acid is attached (by aminoacyl-tRNA synthetases). tRNAs cope with the degeneracy of the genetic code in two manners: having more than one tRNA (with a specific anti-codon) for a particular amino acid; and 'wobble' base-pairing, i.e. permitting non-standard base-pairing at the 3rd anti-codon position.
Source: Rfam by way of RNAcentral